Molecule: ribosomal RNA, 563 nt
Filed under: Climacostomum virens
Lineage: Eukaryota; Ciliophora; Heterotrichea; Heterotrichida; Climacostomidae
Description: partial Bacterial large subunit ribosomal RNA
Rfam family: Bacterial large subunit ribosomal RNA
Source: RNAcentral
GUGAAAAGUACCCCGGGAGGGGAGUGAAAUAGAACCUGAAACCGUGUGCCUACAACAAGUUCGAGCCCGUUAAUGGGUGAGAGCGUGCCUUUUGUAGAAUGAACCGGCGAGUUACGAUAUGAUGCGAGGUUAAGUUGAAGAGACGGAGCCGUAGGGAAACCGAGUCUUAAUAGGGCGAGUUAGUAUCAUGUCGUAGACCCGAAACCAUGUGACCUACCCAUGAGCAGGUUGAAGGUGAGGUAAAACUCACUGGAGGACCGAACCAGGGCACGUUAAAAAGUGCUUGGAUGACUUGUGGGUAGCGGAGAAAUUCCAAACGAACUUGGAGAUAGCUGGUUCUCUCCGAAAUAGCUUUAGGGCUAGCGUCGAUGUUAAGUCUCUUGGAGGUAGAGCACUGUUUGGGUGAGGGGUCCAUCCCGGAUUACCAAUCUCAGAUAAACUCCGAAUGCCAAUGAGAUAUAAUCGGCAGUCAGACUGCGAGUGCUAAGAUCCGUAGUCGAAAGGGAAACAGCCCAGACCACCAGCUAAGGUCCCAAAAUAUAUGUUAAGUGGAAAAGGAUGUG